UGUGUGGGGAGUGUUGUCUGGCUCGAGAAGCUGCGUAGUAGAAUAAUUACGGACGGAUUCUCGGACCAGGCUUCAUUCCCCACACA
This 86-nucleotide microRNA precursor is filed under the name Nelumbo nucifera (sacred lotus). RNAcentral describes it as "mir-166 microRNA precursor family". It matches the Rfam family "mir-166 microRNA precursor family". From Rfam's summary of the family: This family represents the plant microRNA (miRNA) precursor mir-166. Animal miRNAs are transcribed as ~70nt precursors and subsequently processed by the Dicer enzyme to give a ~22nt product. The record is from Rfam by way of RNAcentral. Lineage: Eukaryota; Viridiplantae; Streptophyta; Magnoliopsida; Proteales; Nelumbonaceae.